AUUGAACGCUGGCGGAAUGCUUUACACAUGCAAGUCGAACGGCAGCACGGGGGCAACCCUGGUGGCGAGUGGCGAACGGGUGAGUAAUACAUCGGAACGUGCCCAGUCGUGGGGGAUAACGUAGCGAAAGUUACGCUAAUACCGCAUACGGUCUACGGAUGAAAGCGGGGGACCGUAAGGACUCGCGCGAUUGGAGCGGCCGAUGUCAGAUUAGGUAGUUGGUGGGGUAAAGGCUCACCAAGCCGACGAUCUGUAGCUGGUCUGAGAGGACGACCAGCCACACUGGGACUGAGACACGGCCCAGACUCCUACGGGAGGCAGCAGUGGGGAAUUUUGGACAAUGGGCGCAAGCCUGAUCCAGCCAUUCCGCGUGCAGGAUGAAGGCCCUCGGGUUGUAAACUGCUUUUGUACGGAACGAAAAGGCUCUGGUUAAUACCUGGGCUCAUGACGGUACCGUAAGAAUAAGCACCGGCUAACUACGUGCCAGCCGCCGCCGAA
RNAcentral lists this ribosomal RNA (498 nucleotides) under uncultured bacterium. RNAcentral describes it as "partial 16S ribosomal RNA". It matches the Rfam family "Bacterial small subunit ribosomal RNA", at positions 30 to 522 of the family's 1533-position model. The record is from RNAcentral.